UCGUGCUUUGCGGCACGAGUUGUAGAUUGCAGGUUGGAGUCUGUGUGGAAGGCGGUGUCCAAGUCCCUUGGAACAGGGCGCCCAGGAGGGUGAGAGCCCCGUGGGAUGCCGGCGGAAGCAGUGAGGCCCUUCUGACGAGUCGAGUUGUUUGGGAAUGCAGCUCCAAGCGGGUGGUAAAUUCCAUCUAAGGCUAAAUACUGGCGAGAGACCGAUAGCGAACAAGUACUGUGAAGGAAAGAUGAAAAGCACUUUGAAAAGAGAGUGAAACAGCACGUGAAAUUGUUGAAAGGGAAGGGUAUUGCGCCCGACAUGGGGAUUGCGCACCGCUGCCUCUCGUGGGCGGCGCUCUGGGCUUUCCCUGGGCCAGCAUCGGUUCUUGCUGCAGGAGAAGGGGUUCUGGAACGUGGCUCUUCGGAGUGUUAUAGCCAGGGCCAGAUGCUGCGUGCGGGGACCGAGGACUGCGGCCGUGUAGGUCACGGAUGCUGGCAGAACGGCGCAACACCGCCCGCUG
This 511-nucleotide ribosomal RNA is filed under the name Pichia sp. RNAcentral describes it as "partial large subunit ribosomal RNA". It matches the Rfam family "Eukaryotic large subunit ribosomal RNA", at positions 121 to 654 of the family's 3401-position model. Lineage: Eukaryota; Fungi; Ascomycota; Pichiomycetes; Pichiales; Pichiaceae. The record is from RNAcentral.